UACCAAGUUGGGAUUAAUUUU
This 21-nucleotide non-coding RNA is filed under the name Caenorhabditis elegans. The record is from RNAcentral. Lineage: Eukaryota; Metazoa; Nematoda; Chromadorea; Rhabditida; Rhabditidae.